Molecule: ribosomal RNA, 508 nt
Filed under: uncultured bacterium
Lineage: Bacteria
Description: bacterial SSU rRNA
Rfam family: Bacterial small subunit ribosomal RNA
Source: RNAcentral
UGGCGGCGUGCCUAAUACAUGCAAGUCGAACGGCUUUUCUAUGGAAGCUUGCUUCCACUGAGAAGAUAGUGGCGAACGGGUGAGUAACACGUGGGUAACCUGCCCAUAAGAGGGGGAUAACAUCCGGAAACGGGUGCUAAUACCGCAUAGUUUUCUUGAUCGCAUGAUCGGGAAAGGAAAGACGGCCUUUGUGCUGUCGCUUAUGGAUGGACCCGCGGCGUAUUAGUUAGUUGGUGAGGUAACGGCUCACCAAGACGAUGAUACGUAGCCGACCUGAGAGGGUGAUCGGCCACAUUGGGACUGAGACACGGCCCAAACUCCUACGGGAGGCAGCAGUAGGGAAUCUUCCGCAAUGGACGAAAGUCUGACGGAGCAACGCCGCGUGAGUGAAAGAAGGUUUUCGGAUCGUAAAACUCUGUUGUCAGAGAAGAACAAGUUGGAGAGUAACUGCUCCAGCCUUGACGGUAUCUGACCAGAAAGCCACGGCUAACUACGUGCCAGCCGCGGC